AAACCGUUCAGGGGUAAACCCGAGAAACCCAAAAGUUCGAACGGGGAGAUUCAUCGUCAGCGCCGCUGGCUUCGCGUCGGUCGGCGAUGCCGGCGCGGGUCCGCCGUGUCUCUCGGCACGGCUCCCGCGCUGGCACGCCGCCGUGCGCCGAUGUCCGGCGCGCGUCGUCGUGCACUUCUCCCCCAGUAGGACGUCGCGACCCGCUGGGUGCCGGUCUACGGCCCGGGACGGACGGCUGCAACGUCGCCGGUGAAACGGCACGCGGCAAGCCCCCGGUCGCCCGGCCGGCUGCCCGGCGGUAAGAUGGACGGUACGAGGCCGCGCCCCCGGGCGCGUCGAGCCCGUCGCAAGCGAGUGCCACGGUCGCCGGAGGUACGGACCCAGUGCCGUCCCCGGUCCUGGCCCGCUGUUGGCAGUACGGUGCACCUUCGACAGGCCUGCGAGGCGCGCGCGGUGUCCCGCCCGUCGCGAGACGGGGGAGGGCCCGCGCGCGGCACAUACCGGUCGGCGACGCUACCGCUUUGGGUACUCUCGGGA
Molecule: ribosomal RNA, 537 nt
Filed under: Aenictus aratus
Lineage: Eukaryota; Metazoa; Arthropoda; Insecta; Hymenoptera; Formicidae
Description: partial 28S ribosomal RNA
Source: RNAcentral